Molecule: long non-coding RNA, 2116 nt
Organism: Gavialis gangeticus (Gharial)
Lineage: Eukaryota; Metazoa; Chordata; Crocodylia; Gavialidae
Exons: 3
Source: RefSeq, a predicted model, not a curated record
ACAGUAAACAAAAUGGUUAACAAAUAUCUAUGGUUUUCUAAAGCAACAUAAAACAUGAUCAUGUUUGUUGAAUGAAUUAUAUUAUUAAAAAAUGAAAAACUCUCCAAAACGCUCUGAAGGUUAGCUUUAGGCAACACUGAAGUUGAAGAGGGUAAGACUCUAAAGCCCUAUCUAUAUGGAGACACCUAGGAAAAUUAAAAAGAAUCAAGUUACAAUGUCCUUUGGCCAUUUUAGGACAGAAACAUCCAUAUGGGCCUUUAAAGAGUUAACUUUAGAAAGAGGAGUGCAGCUACAAGAGAGUGGUUGGUAUAAGCUGCAGGGGAUAUACUAGGUUUUGCUUCUUAAGGACAUGUGUACUGAAUGCUAAUUGGUGGCCAGCAGACAAAGGGAAGACUUCCUGGACAGUAGUAAAGAAUUCUUGCUACAGAUACAGCAAGGAGAAAAAGUGAGGCUGAAGAAUAAGUAAGAGAAUUGGCAGUUUUUGACAACCAGGAAGAAGUGAACUGUAAGACACUGAACUCAGAGAUGAGCAACCAACUUCCAGGUUCUUCUCAGAGCUACUGUAGAGAGUAUUUCAGCUGGAACAUGCAACACUAACACUGACUAGAAGUUAGAAAACCUAUAACCUAAAAAUGGGAGGUCCAUGCCCAAGAAAAGGAGGAGGAUGGAGGUCACAGAUUCCUUCAUAUGGGGAGGGAGAAACCAAUCUGUUGGUCUGACUCUGGGUGACAGUGCCUAUCUGGAGCUUGAAUUCAGAACAUGGUAGACAAGUUGCUGAGACUCAUCAUCAGACUCAUUUAAUUACGGCCAAAAAAAAUGGGCAGCUUGCUUCUGAGGCUGCCGGAUGGGAACCUGAACAGAUGAAAGAAGAUAACAAACAUCUAAGCAGAGGGAUAAUUAGGGGUUAGAGUUAGGGGCACUAAUACCACUCUCAUCGACCCUCUUUGUGAAGAUCAAGGCACAGACACCAAUGUGCAUCCUGAACCCAAAUGCAUAGUUAUGAAGCUGACUACCACAAGAGGGGCUUGGGCGUCUUUGACAACGGAAAAAUAUUCUAUGAUAGAAGAUUGCUGGACAGGAGUGGGAUCCAUGAGAUGAAGUUUAUGAACAGCACCUCUAGAUAGUGACCAGCAAACCUGGUGAGGAGGGCUUUAAUGUAGGUUUCAUGAGGGAUGGUGACAAAAAUGGACAGGAUACAUUAAAAAAGUAAGAAUGAAGGAUGGGGAACUGGAGGAUGAAUUCUGGAGAAGGGGCUAGAAAUUUCAAUAAGGCUAAAGACAAUGCAGAGCAAAAAAUACAGGCUACCUACACCAUUUAUUUUCAAUGCCUACAUACCAAUUUGAGGAGUGUGGGAGAACAAGAAAGACGAACUGCACAUCAGUGUGGAAGGGAAGCUAUGCUCUAACUGGCAUUACAGAGCUGUGGGAAGGCCCCAUUCCUUCUGUUUUAUUGCCCACAGGGUCAUUCCAUUUUGCUAUAGUUGAGAAACAGAAUUUAAAUGAUGUAUAACUCCUAUAAAUGGCAGUUACGCAGCUGCAGAUGUGCCAUACAGACACAAAGUGAAACAGAAUUUAGCCCAAAAUGUCCAGCAAGUUCCCAAUGUGCAAGAACACCUUUCUGGUCCAGAAAGUCGAAGAAUCAACCAAGGGAUUAUUUUUUAAUGGUUUCUAAUCAAUAGGUAAGAACUGGUUAAAAAACAGUGAUUGCAGAAUGGGUGGAGAUGGUCGUGAACUGAGAAAGUUCAUAAUUCUAAAAACAGCAAGGCAGAUGAACAGCAAAAUACACAAGAAGAAAGUCAAAUCAGGAGGUUUUAAGGUUCUAUUUCUUAAGAAAUAUUCAUUUGUUACAGACAAACCAUGUCAAGACAAACUAGUUUCUUUCUUUGACAGGAUAACUGAAGACAAAGGGAAUACAGCAGUUAUAUAUCUUGACAUCAGUAGGAGUUUUGACAUGGUGCAUAUCACAUAGAUUCAUAGACAUUAGGGCUGGAAGGGACCUUGGAAGAUCAUUGAGUCCAGCCCCCUGCCCCAGGGGCAGGAAGUCAGCAGGGAUCAUAGGAUCCCAGCAAGAUAAACUUCCAAAAGUCUCUUGAAGGCAUUCAAAGUAGUUGCUUGAC